AACGAGGUAGUUCAAUGGUAGAACGUUAAAAUCAUAAUUUAAUAGUUACAGGUUCAAAUCCUGUCUUCGUUA
Molecule: transfer RNA, 72 nt
Filed under: Thorea hispida
Lineage: Eukaryota; Rhodophyta; Florideophyceae; Thoreales; Thoreaceae
Description: tRNA-Met
Rfam family: tRNA
About the family: Transfer RNA (tRNA) molecules are approximately 80 nucleotides in length. Their secondary structure includes four short double-helical elements and three loops (D, anti-codon, and T loops). Further hydrogen bonds mediate the characteristic L-shaped molecular structure. tRNAs have two regions of fundamental functional importance: the anti-codon, which is responsible for specific mRNA codon recognition, and the 3' end, to which the tRNAs corresponding amino acid is attached (by aminoacyl-tRNA synthetases). tRNAs cope with the degeneracy of the genetic code in two manners: having more than one tRNA (with a specific anti-codon) for a particular amino acid; and 'wobble' base-pairing, i.e. permitting non-standard base-pairing at the 3rd anti-codon position.
Source: RNAcentral